This 373-nucleotide ribosomal RNA is filed under the name uncultured organism. Its description in RNAcentral is "partial 16S ribosomal RNA". It matches the Rfam family "Bacterial small subunit ribosomal RNA", at positions 527 to 896 of the family's 1533-position model. The record is from RNAcentral.
GUAGGUGGCAAGCGUUGUCCGGAAUUAUUGGGCGUAAAGCGCGCGCAGGCGGUUCUUUAAGUCUGAUGUGAAAGCCCACGGCUCAACCGUGGAGGGUCAUUGGAAACUGGAGAACUUGAGUACAGAAGAGGAAAGCGGAAUUCCACGUGUACCGGUGAAAUGCGUAGAGAUGUGGAGGAACACCAGUGGCGAAGGCGGCUUUCUGGUCUGUAACUGACGCUGAGGCGCGAAAGCGUGGGGAGCAAACAGGGAUUAGAUACCCUGGUGGUCCACGCCGUAAACGAUGAGUGCUAAGUGUUAGGGGGUUUCCGCCCCCUUAGUGCUGCAGCUAACGCAUUAAGCACUCCGCCUGGGGAGUACGGCCGCAAGGCUG